This 433-nucleotide ribosomal RNA is filed under the name uncultured bacterium. RNAcentral's name for it is "partial 16S ribosomal RNA". It matches the Rfam family "Bacterial small subunit ribosomal RNA", at positions 29 to 507 of the family's 1533-position model. The record is from RNAcentral.
AACGAACGCUGGCGGCAUGCCUAACACAUGCAAGUCGAACGAUACCUUCGGGUCUUUUGGCGCACGGGUUCGUCACGGGUCGGGACCUGCCCUUAGGUUCGGACUACCUUCCCGCAAGGGGCGCUAAUAGCGGAUAAUGUCUUCGACCCAAAGAUUUAUCGACUUUGGAUGGGCCCGCGUUGGAUUAGCUAGUUGGUAGGGUAAAAGCCUACCAAGGCGACGAUCCAUAGCUGGUCUGAGAGGAUGAUCAGACACACUGGGACUGAGACACGGCCCAGACUCCUACGGGAGGCAGCAGUGGGGAAUAUUGGACAAUGGGCGAAAGCCUGAUCCAGCAAUGCCGCGUGAGUGAUGAAGGCCUUAGGGUUGUAAAGCUCUUUUACCCGGGAUGAUAAUGACAGUACCGGGAGAAUAAGCGCCGGCUAACUCCGUG